CCUACGGGAGGCAGCAGUGAGGAAUAUUGGUCAAUGGACGAGAGUCUGAACCAGCCAAGUAGCGUGAAGGAUGACUGCCCUAUGGGUUGUAAACUUCUUUUAUCUGGGAAUAAAAUGUUCCACGUGUGGGAUUUUGUAUGUACCAUAUGAAUAAGGAUCGGCUAACUCCGUGCCAGCAGCCGCGGUAAUACGGAGGAUCCGAGCGUUAUCCGGAUUUAUUGGGGUUAAAGGGAGCGUAGGUGGAUAGUUAAGUUAGUGGUGAAAGUUUGCGGCUCAAGCGUCAAAGUGCAGUUGAAACUGGCAGUCUUGAGUACAGUAGAGGUAUGCGGAAUUCGUGGUGUAGCGGUGAAAUGCUUAGAUAUCACGAAGAACUCCGAUUGCGAAGGCAGUAUACUGGCCUGCAACUGACACUGAGGCUCGAAAGUGUGGGUAUCAAACAGGAUUAGAUACCCCGGUAGUC
This 460-nucleotide ribosomal RNA is filed under the name uncultured bacterium. RNAcentral's name for it is "partial 16S ribosomal RNA". It matches the Rfam family "Bacterial small subunit ribosomal RNA", at positions 338 to 795 of the family's 1533-position model. The record is from RNAcentral.